CUGCACUCAAUUAACCUAACUGGGUUCAGACCCUUGUGGUGAGGUGGUAUGCAUGAGUGCAAACUGCAGCCUCCCCUGGAGAGUAUGCAGCCUGUUUCUUACACAGGUGAAACAAAGGCACCUGGACAGCC
RNAcentral lists this small nucleolar RNA (131 nucleotides) under Sciurus vulgaris (Eurasian red squirrel). Its description in RNAcentral is "Small nucleolar RNA SNORA70 (ENSSVLG00005004012.1)". It matches the Rfam family "Small nucleolar RNA SNORA70". From Rfam's summary of the family: snoRNA U70 seems to be exclusive to mammals and is a member of the H/ACA class of snoRNA which contain H (ANANNA) and ACA box motifs. H/ACA box snoRNAs are involved in the conversion of uridines to pseudouridines (5-ribosyluracil) a constituent of structural RNAs (transfer, ribosomal, small nuclear, and small nucleolar). The record is from Rfam by way of RNAcentral. Lineage: Eukaryota; Metazoa; Chordata; Mammalia; Rodentia; Sciuridae.